Molecule: ribosomal RNA, 454 nt
Filed under: Enterobacter cloacae
Lineage: Bacteria; Pseudomonadati; Pseudomonadota; Gammaproteobacteria; Enterobacterales; Enterobacteriaceae
Description: bacterial LSU rRNA
Rfam family: Bacterial large subunit ribosomal RNA
Source: RNAcentral
AAAUCAACCGAGAUUCCCCCAGUAGCGGCGAGCGAACGGGGAGCAGCCCAGAGUCUGAAUCAGCUUGUGUGUUAGUGGAAGCGUCUGGAAAGUCGCACGGUACAGGGUGAAAGUCCCGUACACGAAAAUGCACAGGCUGUGAACUCGAAGAGUAGGGCGGGACACGUGGUAUCCUGUCUGAAUAUGGGGGGACCAUCCUCCAAGGCUAAAUACUCCUGACUGACCGAUAGUGAACCAGUACCGUGAGGGAAAGGCGAAAAGAACCCCGGCGAGGGGAGUGAAAAAGAACCUGAAACCGUGUACGUACAAGCAGUGGGAGCACCUUCGGGUGUGACUGCGUACCUUUUGUAUAAUGGGUCAGCGACUUAUAUUCUGUAGCAAGGUUAACCGUAUAGGGGAGCCGAAGGGAAACCGAGUCUUAACUGGGCGUUAAGUUGCAGGGUAUAGACCCGAA